CCUGGAGACCCCAGCCCGCAGCUCUAGCUCCAGGAGAAGCGACCCAUCUCCGUGGCCCUUCCUCCCGUAAACUCCCACCUCCUCCCCAGGUCCCCGGCUUUAGAAAGAAGACUUGACGCCUGUGACGACUCCCCUCUUAAGCCACAGACAAUAUGAGGACCCCGGGGGUCGGCGCGACCGGGCAGGAUCGCGCCCCGCUUGGGGCUGGACCCUGGUCCACGGAGCCCCGCCCCUAGCCCCGCCCACCACACCUGCCGCCUGCUCGAGGCUUGGACACGCCCGGGUCUUCUCUUGCCCCGCGCUGCGCCACCCGACCUGGGCCCUGGGAUGGGGCAGGGGCGGGGGGUGCUCGGCCCUGCCACACUGUGUGACCUUGGGAAGAUGCUUUUGCUGCUGCCAUUUCACAGACGGGAAAGCGACAACGGCCCGCCUGGACUUGAACACAGGCCCAAGGCCUUCUGACCACUUGCCCGCCUCUGCUGGGUAGGCUCAGGUUAGAGGGCCCUUUGCCCUCCCGGACCCAUUCCUAGGCCAUUGGGGCAGCUCCCUGGGCCCACCUCUCUGCCACUCCUAGCCCAGGCCACCUAGGCAGGAGCUCCCAGCCUGCCCGGGGCUGAUCCCCAGCCCACUGACCCCAGCCCUGGCCCCAGCGGGCAGGCGGGCAUUGCUCAACCUUUGGUGUUAUCUGCUGAGCUGGGGUGACCUCCGCCCCCAAGAGCUGGAGAAAUGACAUCUCUGGGCACCCUUGGUGGGUAGGAGGCAGGGAGGGAGGGGAUAAAACACUGGCCCAGCCUGCUGGCUUUCUGGGUCUUCCCAGCAGCCUCUGGGUUGGGGAGGGAUCAAGGCCCAGAGGGGUGCGGCAGCUUCCCUAGGGCCACCCGGCCAGCCCUUCCUCACUGCAAAAUGGGACACUCAGGGCUGAGCUAGAGGCCACGGCUUCUGAGAGGCCCUCCCUGUCCCACCUGCUAGUGAAUUUCCUUCCCUAUCGCCAGCCACCAUUAUCCUAGCUGUCUACCUCAGUCUCCCUGCAGGCUGCCACUUGGGGAGGGCUGGCCCACGAGGGACUCCUGAGCACAGCACGCUCAACAUUUACCAGUGAAGGAAUGCAUUUGCUGUUCCCUGUGCACCAAGAACACUGUCACCCCACCUCUGCCCAAGGCAGCUCCUCAGGUCUCAGCCCAAAAGCUGCCUCCUCCGGGAAACCCUCCCUGACCUUCCCAUGGGAAGUCUAGGCCCUCAGUCACUCCUCUCACACCCCUGCUUCAUUUCCGUCACCAUUCUCAUUAUAAUCAGAAUUAUCUUGCCUGCCAGUCUUGCUGUCUGUCCCCACGGCCUUCACUACUGUGUCCCUGGUGCCUAGAACAGAGCCUGGUACAUAGAAGGUGCUCGAUGAAUGGUGAGUGAAUAAAUGGAGGAGGCUGAGAAGAAGGAGAGGUUCCUCGUUAGCUGGGCUGUGUGACCUUAGGCAAAAUGGCUCCCCUCUCUGAACCAAAGCACUCGCCCACGUUCCCUUUCUGGAUUCUGAAGAGAUGCAGGGAGAUAUGGGGGAACUGAAGCUAAUUGGAGGAUUUGCUGUGUGUUCUUAGGCCAAACUUCCACCUUCUCUGAACCACAUUCCAAGCUCUUUGCAUGUAUUAACUCAUUUAAUCCUACUGAUAAUUUGUAGGAGGCAGGUCUUUUUUCUUCUUCUUUUUUCAUAUUUUUCAAUGUUUUGUAGAGAUGGAUAUGUCUCACUCUGUUGCUCAGGCUUUUCUCGAACGCCUGGCCUCAAGUGGCCCUCUUGCCUCAGCCUCCCAAAGUGCUGAGAUUACAGGUGUGAGCCGCUGCGCCAGGCCACAGUCUUAUCAUUAUCUCCACUUUAUAGAUGAGGAAACUGAGGCCCAGAAGAGCUAAGUGUGUCUGCUCCAGGUCACAUGAAAGGAUGAGAAGGAAUAAAAUCUUUCCAGUCUGACUUUCCCUCUUGGGUUUGUCAUAACAGGCCUGGCAAUGUGAGUCCCAUCUUCUGGAUAGAAGAACUGAGUAUAUACUGCCCCCAGGUGGCAGGUUCUGGGACUGCAGGAGCCAUUCACAUGCGUGAAGAUCCGCUGGGCGCCCUUGCUCUGGGAUCAGGAAAGGCCGGUGCCAUGGAUGUGAUAGAUGCACACAGGGCAUCAGCAGGCCGCCGAGAGGAACCAGAGUGUCCAACGAACAGAAAACAGUGCUCAACCUUCACAUUUAUCGAAUGUUCCUUGGCACAUGCUGUAAUUCUGGCCCUAAAGACACAUUCAUGGACAAGACAAGCAAUUCCUGUUCUCGUGGAGCUGAAAUUCUCCUGGGGGAAGACAAGCACUAAACAAGAUCAAUGAUUAAAGUAUAGAUUGUAUUAGAUUCUGGUCAGCACUAUGGAGGAAAAUACAGCAGGGGAGCAGAGCAGGAGUUCUGGGAGAUUUGAUUUUUUGUUUUCUGGGGUUUUUUGUUUGUUUGUUUUUUGAGACAGGGUCUCACUGCUGGAGUGCAGUGGCACGAUCUCUGCUCACUGCAGCCUCUGCUUCUUGGGCUCAGGUGAUCCUCCCACCUCAACCUCCCAAGUAGCUGGGACCACAGGGGCAUGCCACCACACCCAGCUGAUUUUUUAAUGUUUUGUAGAGAUCAGGUCUCAUUAUAUUGCCCAAGCUGGGGGAGUUGAUUUUAACUUUAUGUUAGAGUAGUCAGGGAAGACCUCACUGAGGUGACAUUUAAGCAAAAACCUGAAUGUGGUGAAGCAGGUAUCUGGGGGACCUUGGACCACACAAAGGGAACAGCAAGUGCAAAGGCCCUGAGGUAGGAGCACGUAGUUGUGGUGAUGACGGAGAGUAGCAGGAAUUUGUGUCAUAGAAAUAGUGGGGGCUGGCCAGGCACAGCGGCUCAUGCCUGCAAUCCUAGCACUUUGGGAGGCCGAGGUGGGUGGAUUACUUGAGGUCAGGAGUCUGAGACCAGCCUGGCCAACAUGGUGAAACCCCAUCUCUACUAAAAAUUAAAAAAAAAAAAAUGGCCAGGCAUGGUGGCGUGCAUCUGUAAUCCCAGCUAUUCAGGAGGCUGAGACAUGAGAAUCACUUGAACCCGGGAGGCGGAGGUUGCAGUGAGCCGAAAUUGUGCCUCUGCACUCCAACCUGGGUGACAAAGCAAGACUCUGCCUCCAAAAAAAAAAAAAUGGAACAUGGAAACAUGGAAUGGGAGAAAAUAUUUGCAAAUCAUAUAUCUGAUAAGGGGUUCAUAUCCAGAAUACAUAAAGAACUGUUACAACUCAACAGCAAUAAAAACAACUCAAUUAAAAAUGGGCAAAGGACUUGAAUAAACAUUUCUCCAGAGAAAACUGUGAAUGGCUAAUAAUCACAUGAUAAGAUACUCAACAUCACUAACCAUUAAGGAAAUACAAACCAAAACUGCAAUGAGGCGCAACACUUUGGUGGAUCACCUGAGGUCAAGAGUUGGAGACCAGCCUGGCCGACACGGUGAAACCCCGUCUCUACUAAAAAUACAAAAAUUAGCUGGGCGUGAUGGUACGUGCGUAUAGUCCCAGCUACUUGGGAGGCUGAGGCAGGAGAAUCACUUGAACCUGGGAGGUGGAGGUUGCAGCAAGCCAAGAUCACGCCACUGCACCCCAGCCUGGGCAACUGAGUGAGACUCCAUCUAAAAAACAAACAAAACGCAAUGAGAAGAGAGGAUUUUGAAUGUUCCCGACACAAAGAAAUGAUAAACGCUUGAGGUAAUGGAUAUCCUAAUUACCCAGAUUUGAUUAUUACACGUUGUAUACAUGUAUUGAAAUAUCAUUUUGUAACCCAUGAACAUGUACAAUUAUGUGUCAACUAAAAAUAAAAGGAAUAAAACACAAUGAGAUACCACCUUACGCCCAUUAGGCUGGCUGCUGCGUUGGGAAGGAUGUGUAGAAACUGGAAUGCUUGUGUAGCUACUGUGGGAAAUGGUAUGGCUGUUCCUCAAAAAAUUAAAAAUAGAAUUACCAAAUGACCCAGCAAUUUUAUUUCUGGGUGUGUAUCCAAACGAAUUGAAAGCAAGAUCUUGAAGAGAUAUUUGUACACUCACGUUCAUAGCAGCCUUCUUCACAAUAGCCAAAAGGUGGAAGCAAUUAGCUGGGUGUGGUGGCGGGUGCCUGUAAUCCCUGCUACUU
RNAcentral lists this long non-coding RNA (4144 nucleotides) under Homo sapiens (human). RNAcentral's name for it is "HSALNT0268553". The record is from RNAcentral. Lineage: Eukaryota; Metazoa; Chordata; Mammalia; Primates; Hominidae.